This is a non-coding RNA of Pelodiscus sinensis (Chinese soft-shelled turtle), 180 nucleotides long. The record is from RefSeq and is a predicted model, not a curated record. Lineage: Eukaryota; Metazoa; Chordata; Testudines; Trionychidae.
UGCCCCUUCUCUCCACCUGCCCCUCCCUGCUUGCUCUGUGCCACCCGGCUGAGCCCUGACGGCCUGUGUCUGUUCCAGACCUCCCGCGAGAUGGUUGCCCGCUCGGCCGCGACGCUCGUCACCCACCCCUUGCACGUGAUCACGCUGAGAUGCAUGGUGCAGUUCAUCGGCAGGGAGACC